CCUCUCUGUGAGAGCUAAAAAGCAGGGACCACAGAGCAAACAAGCCAGCACCACCAAAAAAUGACCCCCAUGCAGCACACUAACCUGCAAAUGGCACACACGGCAAAGGGGUUGUGUUUGCCCUGACAGCUCUGCUUUAAUAGUGGCUGCAACAAUGCUUGACACUAAUCAGGCAAAUGGAGAGCCAACAAGCUACCAGAAAACAGCUGAGAAGGCUUUCAAGACAUCAUUCAACCCUGCUAAUUAAAGCUGACAAAUUUUCUUCA
Cyanistes caeruleus (blue tit) is the source of this 266-nucleotide long non-coding RNA. RefSeq lists it as uncharacterized. NCBI's taxonomy places the organism in Eukaryota, Metazoa, Chordata, Aves, Passeriformes, Paridae. The record is from RefSeq and is a predicted model, not a curated record.